GAUGGAAGAACGCAGCGAAAUGCGAUAAUUAAUGUGAAUUGCAGAAUUCCGUGAAUCAUCGAGUCUUUGAACGCACAUUGCGCCUCAUGGCAUUCCGUGAGGCAUGCCCAUCUCAGCGUUAGAAAAUAUUCUCAAAUUUUAGUUUUGUGCUAAAAUUUGGAUCAUGUCAAGGAAGCUAUUACUAUUAUUGUGAUCGCUCUUUGGAAAUUGAUAGGUCUUUGAGUUGCUACUCAUAGAACGUGAUGAAUCUUUCUUCGUUCUAUUGUAAUUCACUCUGGUAGUCCUAAAACUUGUAUGCCUGUGGCAUAUCUUGUAAUUUGACCUGAGAUUGGGUAGGGAUACCCGCUGAACUUAAGCAUAUCAAUAAGCGGAGGA
RNAcentral lists this unclassified non-coding RNA (375 nucleotides) under soil metagenome. Its description in RNAcentral is "partial contains internal transcribed spacer 2 and large subunit ribosomal RNA". The stretch from base 5 to 121 matches the Rfam family "5.8S ribosomal RNA", at positions 38 to 154 of the family's 154-position model. The record is from RNAcentral.